UGCCUGGGAAAUUGCCCGGUAGAAGGGGAUAACCAUUGGAAACGAUGGCUAAUACCGCAUAACCUCGCAAGAACAAAGCAAGGGACCUUCCGGCCUUGCGCUACCGGAUAUGCCCAGGUGGGAUUAACUAGUUGGUGAAGUAAGGGCUCACCCAGGCCACCAUUCCUAACUGGUCUGAAAAGAAGAUUAGCCCCCCUGGAACUGAAAACCCGUCCCAAAUUCUACCGGAAGGCACCAUUGGGAAAUAUUGCACAAUGGGCGCAAGCCUGAUGCAGCCAUGCCGCGUGUAUGAAGAAGGCCUUCGGGUUGUAAAGUACUUUCAGUAGGGAGGAAGGUGGUUAAGUUAAUACCUUAAUCAUUUGACGUUACCUACAGAAGAAGCACCGGCUAACUCCGUGCCAGCAGCCGCGGUAAUACGGAGGGUGCAAGCGUUAAUCGGAAUUACUGGGCGUAAAGCGCAUGCAGGUGGUUUGUUAAGUCAGAUGUGAAAGCCCUGGGCUCAACCUAGGAAUCGCAUUUGAAACUGACAAGCUAGAGUACUAUAGAGGGGGGUAGAAUUUCAGGUGUAGCGGUGAAUGCGUAGAGAUCUGAAGAAUACGGUGGCGAAGCGGCCCCUGG
Molecule: ribosomal RNA, 618 nt
Filed under: uncultured bacterium
Lineage: Bacteria
Description: bacterial SSU rRNA
Rfam family: Bacterial small subunit ribosomal RNA
Source: RNAcentral